UCCCCGCCCCAAAAUCACGAACCUAUUCGUUCACGAUCUUCGGGCGGGGCAGUUUCGUGUGACACAUAUAACACACGAUAGGGGUUGCGCUCGUUACCCCACUUAAGGGAACACCUCAAGGCACGAGCUGACGACAACCGUGCAGCACCCGUAUUGGAUGUCCUUGUGAGAGGGCCAGUGUUUCCACCGGCUUUCAUCCAACAUUUCAAACCCUGGUGAGGUUUUUCGCUCUGUGUCGAAUUAAACCACAUGAUCCACCGCUUGUGCGAGUCCCCGUCUAUUCCUUUGAGUUUUAAGCUUGCGCUCGUACUUCCCAGGCGGCCUGCUUAACGCGUUAGCUACGCCACUCCGAGGGUCGAUACUCGAAACAGCUAGCAGGCAUCGUUUAGGGCGUGGACUA
Molecule: unclassified non-coding RNA, 400 nt
Filed under: uncultured bacterium
Lineage: Bacteria
Description: contains 16S-23S intergenic spacer region
Source: RNAcentral